GACGAACGCUGGCGGCGUGCUUAAUACAUGCCAGUCGAACGGUGAACCUCUUCGCUGGGGACCAGUGGCUAACGGGCGGACAAGACGGUGACACCUUGCCCCCGGCCCUGGGAUAAUUGCAAGAAAUUGGGGCAACUACGCUAAUUCCACCUCAUCUCUCAAGGCGGGUGGUGGAAAGGUCUAGCGGCUGGGGGUGGGCCCGCGGCCUAGGAGCUAGUUGGUGUGGUAGUGGCAUACCAAGGAGACGACGGGUAGCCGGCCUGGGAGGGUGACCGGCGACAAUGCGACUGCGAGACGGCCCAGACUCCUACGGGAGGCAGCGGUGGGGAAUAUUGCGCAAUGGGCGGAAGCCUGACGCAGCGACGCCGCGUGGGGGAUGACGGCCUUCGGGUUGUAAACCUCUUUCAGCAGGGACGAAGCGCAAGUGACGGUACCUGCAGAAGAAGCACCGGCCAACUACGUG
This 463-nucleotide ribosomal RNA is filed under the name uncultured bacterium. RNAcentral's name for it is "partial 16S ribosomal RNA". It matches the Rfam family "Bacterial small subunit ribosomal RNA", at positions 28 to 507 of the family's 1533-position model. The record is from RNAcentral.